GGGGGGGGGGGGGGGGGGGGGGGGGGGGGGGGGGGCGGGCGGGCGGACGGUGGGCGGGGGCCGUUACUGGUGGCGGGUGGCGGGCGGGUGAGGGAUGCGUCGGAUUCUGCUUUUUCGUGGGGGGCGACGGGGGGGAGCUUCCGAUAAUGCCUGCUACUAUGUACGGGGUAAAGCAGGAGACCUUGGGGCCUUUCGCUCUUGUAUGAGACGAUGUCGGGUUAGCUAGUUGGCGGGGUAAGUGCCAACCAAGGCAAGGCUCCGUAGCUGGGCUGCCAGGAUGAUCAGCCACACUGGAACUGAGACACGGUCCAGACUCCUACGGGAGGCAGCAGUGGGGAAUAUUGGACAAUGGGCGCAAGCCUGAUCCAGCCAUACCGCGUGGGUGAAGAAGGCCUUCGGGUUGUAAAGCCCUGUUGUUGGGAAAGAAAAGCAGCAGGUUAAUACCCCGCUGUUCUGACGGUACCCAAAGAAUAAGCACCGGCUAACUUCGUG
Molecule: ribosomal RNA, 492 nt
Filed under: uncultured bacterium
Lineage: Bacteria
Description: partial 16S ribosomal RNA
Rfam family: Bacterial small subunit ribosomal RNA (bases 54-492)
Source: RNAcentral